CUCGUUUCCUUUCUUUCCUACAUUCUUUUUUUUUUUUUUCUUUUUACUUUCUCUUAUUUCCAUCUUUCUCUCUUCUUUCUUUAGCCAUUCGGCCUCCACUGAUCAUAAGCCUCUAAAGUGAUGCUCCUUGUCCUCCACUCAUGUUUUCCGGUUUAGAUUUCCUCAAACCCAAACCAAAAUCUUCAAAAAAAUUGAAUAAAAAGAAACUUGAUCCGUCGUCAGAUCGGUCUCAUUUUCUAGUAUGAUGCUCUUCACCAUCCAAGGAAGAUUUUCCUCAAUGGGAUCGUCAAUUGGUCAUCUCAAACCAAUCCAAAACGGUUGUGUUCUCUCCUUUUCUUCUUUUGCAAAAUCUUUGGUUAGUCUCGAUUAGGGCUAACUCAUGUUUGGGGUUGUGUUUUAUGGCUCGAGGAUGGGGUGGGUUUUGGUAUGCAAGAGAAAUGGAGAAGUUCAAGAUGAGGAUUUGAAGAAGUAGCCAUGAGUUUUUCAAGUUGAUCUUCAUAUAUUCUUGUAUUUUCUGUUCAUCACUAAUUUAUAUCAUAUUGGUUAUUAUGUAAAAAAAAAAAAAAGAUUGGUUAUUCAUUUUUUCUAUUUUUCUUGUGAUUUAAGAUUUUAAUUGCAAUAAUCAAUGGAAAAGAUAACUUUUUUAGUUUGUAUAA
Molecule: long non-coding RNA, 656 nt
Organism: Gossypium arboreum
Lineage: Eukaryota; Viridiplantae; Streptophyta; Magnoliopsida; Malvales; Malvaceae
Exons: 2
Source: RefSeq, a predicted model, not a curated record